RNAcentral lists this ribosomal RNA (16 nucleotides) under Colletotrichum sublineola. RNAcentral's name for it is "partial 18S ribosomal RNA". The record is from RNAcentral. Lineage: Eukaryota; Fungi; Ascomycota; Sordariomycetes; Glomerellales; Glomerellaceae.
AGGGAUCAUUACUGAG